Molecule: ribosomal RNA, 253 nt
Filed under: uncultured prokaryote
Description: partial 16S ribosomal RNA
Rfam family: Bacterial small subunit ribosomal RNA
Source: RNAcentral
UACGUAGGUGGCGAGCGUUGUCCGGAUUUACUGGGUGUAAAGGGCGUGUAGGCGGGAAUGUAAGUCAGAUGUGAAACUCCGGGGCUCAACCUCGGAACUGCAUCUGAAACUAUGUUUCUUGAGUGCUGGAGAGGAAGGCGGAAUUCCUAGUGUAGCGGUGAAAUGCGUAGAUAUUAGGAGGAACACCAGUGGCGAAGGCGGCUUUCUGGACAGUAACUGACGCUGAGGCGCGAAAGCGUGGGGAGCAAACAGG